UACGUAGGGUGCAAGCGUUGCCCGGAUUUAUUGGGCGUAAAGGGCGCGUAGGCGGCUCGGCACGUCCGUUGUGAAAUCGCCCGGCUCAACUGAGGAAGUGCAUCCGAAACUGGCAGGCUAGAGUACCAAAGAGGGUCGCGGAAUUCCCGGUGUAGAGGUGAAAUUCGUAGAUAUCGGGAGGAACACCGGUGGCGAAGGCGGCGACCUGGGUGGAUACUGACGCUGAGGUGCGAAAGCGUGGGGAGCAAACAGG
RNAcentral lists this ribosomal RNA (253 nucleotides) under uncultured bacterium. RNAcentral describes it as "partial 16S ribosomal RNA". It matches the Rfam family "Bacterial small subunit ribosomal RNA", at positions 524 to 776 of the family's 1533-position model. The record is from RNAcentral.